Molecule: long non-coding RNA, 534 nt
Filed under: Rattus norvegicus (Norway rat)
Lineage: Eukaryota; Metazoa; Chordata; Mammalia; Rodentia; Muridae
Description: long non-coding RNA NONRATT027915
Source: RNAcentral
CUGAAAGCACGGUAGUCACCGGUGUUGGCAUUGUCAUGAACCAUCACUUACAAGAAACCAGCUUCACAAAAGAGGCUUACAAAACAUAUAUCAAAGACUACAUAAAACCACUCAAAGGCUGACUUGAACAGAAACCAGAAAAAGUCUUUUAGACUGGAGCUGCAGAGCAAAUUAAGCACAUCCUUGCUAAUUUCAAUAGCUACCAGUUUUUUAUUGGUGAAAACAUGAUGGUAAGUAUGGUUGCUCUACUGGACUACUGUGAAGACGGUGUGACUCCGUUCAUGAUUUUCUUUAAGGAUGGCUUAGAGAUGGAAAAAUGUUAACAAAUUAGACAAAUGGAAUCUGUCACCUGUCACUAUAAUUGGCUGCUGCUUACCAUCCAUCCAACACCAGGACUUAGGACAAAUGGGACUGAUACCAUCUUGAGCUUUUAUUUUGACUGUGAUUUACUUGGAGUGGAGGCACUGCUUUUUCUUUUUUAAAGAAAAAAAAACAUGUCAUGUGGGUUGUCUAAAAAUAAAGCGCAUUUAAAUU